AACGAACGCUGGCGGCAUGCCUAACACAUGCAAGUCGAACGAGACCUUCGGGUCUAGUGGCGCACGGGUGCGUAACGCGUGGGAACCUGCCCUUAGGUUCGGAAUAACUCCCCGAAAGGGGUGCUAAUACCGGAUAAUGUCUUCGGACCAAAGAUUUAUCGCCUUUGGAUGGGCCCGCGUUGGAUUAGCUAGUUGGUAGGGUAAAAGCCUACCAAGGCGUCGAUCCAUAGCUGGUCUGAGAGGAUGAUCAGCCACACUGGGACUGAGACACGGCCCAGACUCCUACGGGAGGCAGCAGUGGGGAAUAUUGGACAAUGGGCGAAAGCCUGAUCCAGCAAUGCCGCGUGAGUGAUGAAGGCCUUAGGGUUGUAAAGCUCUUUUACCCGGGAUGAUAAUGACAGUACCGGGAGAAUAAGCGCCGGCUAACUCCGUG
This 433-nucleotide ribosomal RNA is filed under the name uncultured bacterium. RNAcentral's name for it is "partial 16S ribosomal RNA". It matches the Rfam family "Bacterial small subunit ribosomal RNA", at positions 29 to 507 of the family's 1533-position model. The record is from RNAcentral.